RNAcentral lists this long non-coding RNA (1319 nucleotides) under Citrus maxima (pomelo). RNAcentral's name for it is "long non-coding RNA (CMAX_LNC003133)". Lineage: Eukaryota; Viridiplantae; Streptophyta; Magnoliopsida; Sapindales; Rutaceae. The record is from RNAcentral.
UUCUUCAUUAGAUAUUAAUUCUUUCACUAACAUAUAACACAUAACAUUAAAAAAAUAUGUGAAGUAGGCCCUUAAUGCUUGUACGUACACUAUAUAAUAAUAAUUAUUUUUUAUAUAACCCCUUUGUUUCAUCCGCUAACAAAACCACAAGAACUAAGCAAAUGUAAAAGCUCAUUUCGUUAUUUAUAUAAAUCUAUAUGUGACCAGCAACUCAUUAUUCAUUUCUCAUCUUCUUCCUCUCUUCUUCUUUUUCUUCUUGUUUCGAAUUCUUAACUCUUCCCUUUGUUUUAUGGGUGUUUUCGCAAAUUCUUGAAGUUGAAGGGAGGGGAGAUGAUGAUGGCAAAUUCAGAAACUGGAGGAAGAGCUGAAGGCCAAGUACAAGUUUUAAUCAAGAAUUUGUCUUGGGAUCCAUGGCCUAAACAAUAUUAUUUGAUGUUGCAACCAUAACUAUGAGGAAGGGUUAACCUCUAGGCAAGUCUAAAGCUUGGCUUUUUUUUUAAUUAUCCUCCAUUUUCUUUGUUUCCUAUUUUUCUCUUUCCUUUUGUUUCUUAGGUUUAAUUUUCUAGUUUGUUUGUGUGCCAACAAGAAAAUGGAGGAUAAUAUGAAUAACGUAUAGGAAAUCUUGAAUUAAUCUUUUAUCAAAAGAUUUUCAGGGUUUCUCUUUCUUUAAUUGUUGCCAUAUUACUGUCUUUUGUGGGCAGCAAUAACCAUGCAUAAUUAAACAAAUUAAUUUUCUUUUUGGCUGUUUUUGUUCUUGUGAUUGCUUCUCAUAUAUUGCAACCACAGAAUAUCUCUGUAAAACACAAAUUAGCUCGUGUUUUUAACUCCUUCCUUGUUCAUUUAAGAUUCAUUAUGAUUGAAUCUGUAGAAUUUCCAAAAGAAAGUAUGGAUUCUUUAUUAUUCAAGAGAUAUAUAUCUGCAGCUUCAUUUCUUUAUAUAAGUCUCACAUAUAUAUAUAUAUAUAUAUAUAUAUAUAUACACACACAAAAGAAUUGCAUAGACUUUAAUUAACAACAAAUGGAAGGUGCUUAGGCUUUCUGUUAUUUCAUAUUUGAAGAAUAAGAACAGUGAAAAAUGCAGGUUCUGAAAUCAAUUCCGACUCUUUUUAAGGUUCUGUAAUUUCAAUUUCAAGCUUCUAAAGCCAAAAACUCUCCAUUUAUUUUAAAAGUUAUAAUUUAGUUUAGUUUAAUUCUUCUUAACGCUUGUUAAUUAACGUGACGGCAAACAUUGUGCAUGUUCACACAUCAAAAUCAGAGAUCUAUGUAGUUUGAUCCUGAUCCGAAUUACAUCAGCUUAAGAUUCAAGAAUCUUGCUCUCAA